GACGAACGCUGGCGGCGUGCUUAACACAUGCAAGUCGAACGGGCCUGCCUGGCUUUGGUUGGGUGGGUGAGUGGCGAACGGGUGAGUAACACGUGAGUAACCUGCCCUCUUCUCUUGGAUAACUGCUUGAAAGGGCGGCUAAUACGGGAUGUUCUGGCUGCCUCGCAUGGGGUGGUUUGGAAAGAUUCGGCCUGGUUUUGGUUGUUUUGGUGGGGGAUGGGCUCGCGGCUUAUCAGCUUGUUGGUGGGGUGAUGGCCUACCAAGGCGGUGACGGGUAGCCGGCCUGAGAGGGUGGACGGUCACACUGGGACUGAGACACGGCCCAGACUCCUCGGGAGGCAGCAGUGGGGGAUUUUGCACAAUGGGCGCAAGCCUGAUGCAGCGACGCCGCGUGAGGGAUGGAGGCCUUCGGGUUGUGAACCUCUGUCGCCGGUGAUGUAGGC
Molecule: ribosomal RNA, 443 nt
Filed under: Actinomyces sp. oral taxon 448
Lineage: Bacteria; Bacillati; Actinomycetota; Actinomycetes; Actinomycetales; Actinomycetaceae
Description: bacterial SSU rRNA
Rfam family: Bacterial small subunit ribosomal RNA
Source: RNAcentral